AUUGAACGCUGGCGGCAGGCCUAACACAUGCAAGUCGAGCGGAUGAAGGGAGCUUGCUCCUGGAUUCAGCGGCGGACGGGUGAGUAAUGCCUAGGAAUCUGCCUGGUAGUGGGGGAUAACGUCCGGAAACGGGCGCUAAUACCGCAUACGUCCUGAGGGAGAAAGUGGGGGAUCUUCGGACCUCACGCUAUCAGAUGAGCCUAGGUCGGAUUAGCUAGUUGGUGGGGUAAAGGCCUACCAAGGCGACGAUCCGUAACUGGUCUGAGAGGAUGAUCAGUCACACUGGAACUGAGACACGGUCCAGACUCCUACGGGAGGCAGCAGUGGGGAAUAUUGGACAAUGGGCGAAAGCCUGAUCCAGCCAUGCCGCGUGUGUGAAGAAGGUCUUCGGAUUGUAAAGCACUUUAAGUUGGGAGGAAGGGCAGUAAGUUAAUACCUUGCUGUUUUGACGUUACCGACAGAAUAAGCAGCGGCUAACUUCGUG
This 484-nucleotide ribosomal RNA is filed under the name uncultured bacterium. RNAcentral describes it as "partial 16S ribosomal RNA". It matches the Rfam family "Bacterial small subunit ribosomal RNA", at positions 30 to 507 of the family's 1533-position model. The record is from RNAcentral.